This is a long non-coding RNA of Malus domestica (apple), 940 nucleotides long. RefSeq lists it as uncharacterized. The record is from RefSeq and is a predicted model, not a curated record. Lineage: Eukaryota; Viridiplantae; Streptophyta; Magnoliopsida; Rosales; Rosaceae.
UAUUUGUUUUCUAUCAAUUUAGUCCCUUAUUCUCUUUUAAUCCUAACCCUUGAUCUAGAAAGGCUAUUGAUCUUAAACUGCCAUGUGGCAGCUCUCAGAUCCCUCUUUCCUUUCAUCUCUGCCCGAAACACAUCUCAGAAUCUCACAGCUCUCUUUCUUUCGGUUUCUUCUCUCUCUUUCUCACACUCUCUAAGCUCCGAGAGCUUCUCUCUAACUUUCACCUCAUUUCCUUCACAAAUCAAACCCCAAAAACCAUAUAUUUGGAAUCCUUGAGACCUAACGAACUCAAUGGUACCCUUGCAUGCGCCAUCUGAGCACCGUGGGUUUUUAUACCAUUGAAGCCGAGAGCUUCAAAGCUCUAAAACUCGAACCCAGCUCUGACGAUGAACUCCGACGAGUUCGAGGUCCAUCUCUUCCCAAAACCUGCUGCAGUGCGUCUAGGUGAAGUUGCUAGUGGAGACUUCCUUAAUCUUUUUCCGCACAAUUCUGCUGCUUCGGAGUAUCUGUGAGUGGACCACCUUCGAAAAUUGCAUGUUUUAUUGAUAGAAUUGCAUAAUUUAAUAGCAUGCCUUGCAGAAUUAUUGAUUUGAGGAAUACUUUACAGGAAGCAUGAUGAUUUGAUUAUACGUGAUUAUAUAUAUAUGUUUUGAAUUAUUUCCAUUAUAUCGUAUUUUCUAUAGAACCCUCAUUCUGGUAGACUAUCUGAUCGAUGACGAUAGGAUGCUAAGAAUGUGUUUCAAAUGACUUUCGAACACCUCUUCGUAGUAUAGAGGAUCGAUGAAUUUAGGCUACGAAGUUGUAUUUUAGAGAUGAAUUAUGUUUUGUGCGUACCUAGUGAACACUAUGCCGCCUGGGGCGAGGAUCUGGUGUUGGCAUUGAGGCCGGGAGAAAUAAUCCCUAGCGAAAGGCUGAGGGACACGGAGACAGGCAUUGGGCCGGG